RNAcentral lists this long non-coding RNA (506 nucleotides) under Elaeis guineensis (African oil palm). RNAcentral's name for it is "long non-coding RNA (EGUI_LNC030513)". Lineage: Eukaryota; Viridiplantae; Streptophyta; Magnoliopsida; Arecales; Arecaceae. The record is from RNAcentral.
UCCUCAAGAUUCAAGCAACCUACAUCAACUUUGGCGAAGAGUCAAGCCACUUGCAUCCAAUAGAGAUCAUAGCACAUGGCGAAGGCCGAGGCCAAGUCCUCUGUAAUCUCUGCUUCAAAGGCCUCCGAGGCGUUACACUCCUCCAUAGCCUAGAGCUUAGCCUCGGUGAUAAUCGACAAUCUCUCCUCAGUUGCCUUCUCCUUGCUUGCUACAAAGCUCCUCCUCGACCACUUCCGAGCUGCCGCCAACUCCCUUUCCAGCUCGGCAACCUUCUCCAAUUGGAUAUCGGCCACUGCUCUCUCAUAAGUGGCUUGCCCCUCGAGCACCCCCAUCUGAUGGCAUGUAUACUGGAGUUCGAAACCUUCUACACAGCAAUUGAGGUGCAAGAGUACAGCAUUAACCCAAAGACAACCCUCCUCAGAUACUCCCAAUGACCAAAAAUGACUCUCUAAAAAAACUACUCCCAUCGCCCAAAAUCAGCUAGUCACUUCGAACUCAAUAGUGAG